Molecule: ribosomal RNA, 500 nt
Filed under: uncultured bacterium
Lineage: Bacteria
Description: partial 16S ribosomal RNA
Rfam family: Bacterial small subunit ribosomal RNA
Source: RNAcentral
GACGAACGCUGGCGGCGUGCUUAACACAUGCAAGUCGAACGGGUCUGCCCUGUUUUUUGCGGGGUGGGUCAGUGGCGAACGGGUGAGUAACACGUGAGUAACCUGCCCCUCACUUCUGGAUAACCGCUUGAAAGGGUGGCUAAUACGGGGUGUUCUGGCUGUGCCGCAUGGUGUGGCUGGGAAAGAUUCACUUUUGUGGUGUUUUGGUGGGGGAUGGGCUCGCGGCCUAUCAGCUUGUUGGUGGGGUGAUGGCCUGCCAAGGCUUUGACGGGUAGCCGGCCUGAGAGGGUGGGCGGCCACACUGGGACUGAGAUACGGCCGAGACUCAUGGGGGAGGCAGCAGUGGGGGGUAUUGAACAAUGGGCGGAAGCCUGAUGCAGCGACGUCGCGUGAGGGAUGGAGGCCUUCGGGUUGUGAACCUCUUUCGCCGGUGAAGAAGGUCCUGCUCUUUGGGGUGGGGUUGACGGUAGCCGGGUUAUGAAGCGCCGGCUAACUACGUG